AGAAAAAUAACUAUGAUUUGAAAAGGAUCAAGCCUUUUGCAGCUGCCUAAUUCUAAUGUUAUGAACCAUAAACAAUUACACGAAUGUUUUUCCUGUAGCGGCUGCCUGUUGCUAUUAUUAUGGUCCAUAGUUAACAGCAAAACUGUGUAUCUCUGAGCUUGUGGUUUUUAACUUUUUGUCUGCCCUUUUUACAUUAUAAUUUGCACUGUAGAUCAUUAAUCUGUUGUUUUAAGUUUGUUGAACUUGAUUUAGUUAGUAUGGGAUGAUAAUAUUUCUCUCUUUUUGGUUGUUCAG
This 294-nucleotide unclassified non-coding RNA is filed under the name Hevea brasiliensis (rubber tree). The record is from RNAcentral. Lineage: Eukaryota; Viridiplantae; Streptophyta; Magnoliopsida; Malpighiales; Euphorbiaceae.